GGCUUUGGUGAUAAACGAUACCUUUUGAGGCAUUCUGAUUAUUGCUUUUUGACGCAUACUAUUAAUACAUAUAUAAUUUGUGUUCUUAUUAAAAUAAAAUAAAAGAAUGUUGUUGUAGAUAAAUAUUUUUAAAACAAAUUAUUUGAUGUAUUAUUUCAAAUACAUUCUAAGUACUAUCAUGUAAUAUAUGAUACAUAGUGAAAUAGAAAAAUAACAUAAUAUGUAUAUAUAAUUUUACAAAAAAUUGCAUGCACAGUGGUGAUGUAAAAAAAAAAUCUAAAGAAACGUAUUAGAUAGCACUAAUAUGCAUAAUUGAACAGUAUGGCAGAAGGAAAUCCUUUUGAAAAUGACAAUAAUACAUUAAACACAAGUUCAUUGCUUGAAGAUUUAACUAAUGGAACUGUUGGUGAUGUACAGAAUGGGGAGGGUAACGGAAAAUCAUAUAAUACUACUGUGCAAAGUCGUAGAUUAUUGCAAACAGCACAAAUCAUAAAUCUAAAUGUUGCAUUUAUUUGGAUACUUUGUUUGAUAGUUAUUGCGAUUUUAUUUUAUUUUUAUUUAACUAUGCAUUAUUAUAAACCUGUAAGAUAAAUAAAAAAUUGAUGUAAUAUAUAUAU
RNAcentral lists this long non-coding RNA (617 nucleotides) under Piliocolobus tephrosceles (Ugandan red Colobus). RNAcentral's name for it is "lncRNA (ENSPTEG00000029261.1)". Lineage: Eukaryota; Metazoa; Chordata; Mammalia; Primates; Cercopithecidae. The record is from RNAcentral.